GUUUGAUCCUGGCUCAGGACGAACGCUGGCGGCGUGCCUAACACAUGCAAGUCGAGCGGAGACAGUGAGUAGCUUGCUAUAAGCUGUUUUAGCGGCGGACGGGUGAGUAACGCGUGAGCAACCUUUCCCAGACAGGGGAAUAACACACCGAAAGGUGUACUAAUACCGCAUAAGACCACGGGAUCACAUGGUUCUGGGGUAAAAGAUUUAUCGGUUUGGGGUGGGCUCGCGUCCGAUUAGGUAGUUGGUGAGGUAACGGCCCACCAAGCCGACGAUCGGUAGCCGACCUGAGAGGGUGAUCGGCCACAUUGGGACUGAGACACGGCCCAAACUCCUACGGGAGGCAGCAGUGGGAAUAUUGGGCAAUGGAGGAAACUCUGACCCAGCAACGCCGCGUGGAGGAAGAAGGUUUUCGGAUCGUAAACUCCUGUCCUUGGAGACGAGUAGAAGACGGUAUCCAAGGAGGAAGCCCCGGCUAACUACGUGCCAGCAGCCGCGGUAAUACGUAGGGGGCAAGCGUUGUCCGGAAUAAUUGGGCGUAAAGGGCGCGUAGGCGGCUCGGUAAGUCUGGAGUGAAAGUCCUGCUUUUAAGGUGGGAAUUGCUUUGGAUACUGUCGGGCUUGAGUGCAGGAGAGGUUAGUGGAAUUCCCAGUGUAGCGGUGAAAUGCGUAGAGAUUGGGAGGAACACCAGUGGCGAAGGCGACUAACUGGACUGUAACUGACGCUGAGGCGCGAAAGUGUGGGGAGCAAACAGGAUUAGAUACCCUGGUAGUCCACACUGUAAACGAUGAAUGCUAGGUGUAGGGGGUAUCGACCCCUUCUGUGCCGCAGUCAACACAAUAAGCAUUCCGCCUGGGGAGUACGGCCGCAAGGUUGAAACUCAAAGGAAUUGACGGGGGCCCGCACAAGCAGCGGAGCAUGUGGUUUAAUUCGACGCAACGCGAAGAACCUUACCAGGUCUUGACAUCCACUUAAACUUACAGAGAUGUAAGGUGUGCUUGCACAAAGUGAGACAGGUGGUGCAUGGUUGUCGUCAGCUCGUGUCGUGAGAUGUUGGGUUAAGUCCCGCAACGAGCGCAACCCUUAUCUUCAGUUACUAACGCGUGAGGGUGAGGACUCUGAAGAGACUGCCGGGGACAACUCGGAGGAAGGUGGGGACGACGUCAAAUCAUCAUGCCCCUUAUGACCUGGGCUACACACGUGCUACAAUGGCCACGACAGAGAGAAGCGAAAUCGCAAGGUAGAGCGGAACUCAAAAAAGUGGUCCCAGUUCGGAUUGUGGGCUGCAACCCGCCCACAUGAAGUCGGAGUUGCUAGUAAUCGCGGAUCAGCAUGCCGCGGUGAAUACGUUCCCGGGCCUUGUACACACCGCCCGUCACACCAUGGGAGUUGGGAGUGCCCAAAGCCGGUGAGGCAACCGCAAGGAGCCAGCCGUCUAAGGCAAGACCAAUGACUGGGGUGAAGUCGGAACAAGGUA
This 1477-nucleotide ribosomal RNA is filed under the name metagenome. Its description in RNAcentral is "bacterial SSU rRNA". It matches the Rfam family "Bacterial small subunit ribosomal RNA". The record is from RNAcentral.